UUGCGGGAUAGAGCAGUUUGGUAGCUCGCAAGGCUCAUAAUCUUGAGGUCAUAGGUUCAAAUCCUAUUCCCGCAACCCA
This 79-nucleotide transfer RNA is filed under the name Rhipiliopsis peltata. RNAcentral describes it as "tRNA-Met". It matches the Rfam family "tRNA". From Rfam's summary of the family: Transfer RNA (tRNA) molecules are approximately 80 nucleotides in length. Their secondary structure includes four short double-helical elements and three loops (D, anti-codon, and T loops). Further hydrogen bonds mediate the characteristic L-shaped molecular structure. tRNAs have two regions of fundamental functional importance: the anti-codon, which is responsible for specific mRNA codon recognition, and the 3' end, to which the tRNAs corresponding amino acid is attached (by aminoacyl-tRNA synthetases). tRNAs cope with the degeneracy of the genetic code in two manners: having more than one tRNA (with a specific anti-codon) for a particular amino acid; and 'wobble' base-pairing, i.e. permitting non-standard base-pairing at the 3rd anti-codon position. Lineage: Eukaryota; Viridiplantae; Chlorophyta; Ulvophyceae; Bryopsidales; Halimedaceae. The record is from RNAcentral.